RNAcentral lists this ribosomal RNA (253 nucleotides) under uncultured bacterium. RNAcentral describes it as "partial 16S ribosomal RNA". It matches the Rfam family "Bacterial small subunit ribosomal RNA", at positions 524 to 776 of the family's 1533-position model. The record is from RNAcentral.
GACGAACCGUCCUAACGUUGUUCGGAAUCACUGGGCGUAAAGGGCGCGUAGGCGGUCGGCAUAGUCAGGGGUGAAAUCUUUCGGCUUAACCGGAAAAGUGCCUCUGAUACUAGUCGACUAGAGCGAGAUAGGGGCAAUUGGAACUUCCGGUGGAGCGGUGAAAUGCGUUGAUAUCGGAAGGAACGCCGGUGGCGAAAGCGAAUUGCUGGAUCUCUUCUGACGCUGAGGCGCGAAAGCUAGGGGAGCAAACGGG